RNAcentral lists this ribosomal RNA (292 nucleotides) under uncultured bacterium. Its description in RNAcentral is "partial 16S ribosomal RNA". It matches the Rfam family "Bacterial small subunit ribosomal RNA", at positions 505 to 796 of the family's 1533-position model. The record is from RNAcentral.
GUUUUAGCCGCCGCGGUAAUACGAAGGGGGCUAGCGUUGCUCGGAAUCACUGGGCGUAAAGCGCACGUAGGCGGAUUCCUAAGUCGGGGGUGAAAUCCUGGAGCUCAACUCCAGAACUGCCUUCGAUACUGGGAAUCUUGAGUCCGGGAGAGGUGAGUGGAACUGCGAGUGUAGAGGUGAAAUUCGUAGAUAUUCGCAAGAACACCAGUGGCGAAGGCGGCUCACUGGCCCGGUACUGACGCUGAGGUGCGAAAGCGUGGGGAGCAAACAGGAUUAGAUACCCCGGUAGUCC